UAGCCAUUAUGACUGAUUUAGCUGAAUAACCUUGGGUCUGCUUCAGGCUGCAGGUUGGCCGAACUUAGCUACCUGUUGAAGUUUAGGUCUGCAUCAUAUUUCUCCACAUUUAUCUCGGACCAGCAGAUAUUUAGGCUAUUGGCAGAAGCAUACCCGGGCAAACCAAACCAUGGGAGUACUUUCUAACCCCCUGUUCACAUUAUGUUCAAUAACAUCCUACUGGCCUAAGUAAGAACGAUGGUCACUUAGCCAGGUGUCGUGGUGUGCGCCUGUAGUCCCAGCUACUCAGGAGGCUGAGGCAGGAGAAUCACUUGAACCUGGGAGGCAGAGGUUGCAGCAAGCCGAGAUUGCGCCAUUGGACUUCAGCCCGGGCAACAAGAGCGAAACUAAGUCUUAAAAAAAAAAAGGCCUCACUCACUGCCGACCUGCCUCGCCACGCCCCGGGCAUGCCCUGCCACCACCUCACAGAAAUGCUUCGGUUCCCCACUGUCUUUAGAUAAGACCAUUGUCCAGGGUAUUGGUUCCUCAUCUCACUCGGGCUUAUGCCAAAGAUGUAAAAUUCAGUGCAGAU
RNAcentral lists this long non-coding RNA (571 nucleotides) under Homo sapiens (human). RNAcentral's name for it is "novel transcript". The record is from RNAcentral. Lineage: Eukaryota; Metazoa; Chordata; Mammalia; Primates; Hominidae.